UACGGGGGGAGCAAGCGUUGUUCGGAUUUACUGGGCGUAAAGGGCGCGUAGGCGGCCACCGCAAGUCGACUGUGAAAUCUCCGGGCUUAACCCGGAAAGGUCAGCCGAUACUGCGGGGCUAGAGUGCAGAAGGGGCAACUGGAAUUCUCGGUGUAGCGGUGAAAUGCGUAGAUAUCGAGAGGAACACCAGAGGUGAAGACGGGUUGCUGGGCCGACACUGACGCUGACAGCGCGAAAGCCAGGGGAGCAAACGGG
This 255-nucleotide ribosomal RNA is filed under the name uncultured bacterium. RNAcentral describes it as "partial 16S ribosomal RNA". It matches the Rfam family "Bacterial small subunit ribosomal RNA", at positions 524 to 776 of the family's 1533-position model. The record is from RNAcentral.